AUGCUGACAUGAGUAACGACAAUGGGUGUGAAAACCCCCCACGCCGAAAGACCAAGGUUUCCUGCGCAACGUUAAUCGACGCAGGGUUAGUCGGUCCCUAAGGCGAGGCUGAAAAGCGUAGUCGAUGGAAAACAGGUUAAUAUUCCUGUACUUCUGGUUAUUGCGAUGGAGGGACGGAGAAGGCUAGGCCAGCUUGGCGUUGGUUGUCCAAGUUUAAGGUGGUAGGCUGGAAUCUUAGGUAAAUCCGGGAUUCUAAGGCCGAGAGCUGAUGACGAGUUACCCUUUGGGUGACGAAG
Molecule: ribosomal RNA, 296 nt
Filed under: Priestia megaterium
Lineage: Bacteria; Bacillati; Bacillota; Bacilli; Caryophanales; Bacillaceae
Description: Bacillus megaterium partial 23S ribosomal RNA
Rfam family: Bacterial large subunit ribosomal RNA
Source: RNAcentral